Molecule: transfer RNA, 71 nt
Filed under: marine sediment metagenome
Description: tRNA-Lys
Rfam family: tRNA
About the family: Transfer RNA (tRNA) molecules are approximately 80 nucleotides in length. Their secondary structure includes four short double-helical elements and three loops (D, anti-codon, and T loops).
Source: RNAcentral
GGGUCGUUGGCAUAGUGGCUGUGCAGGAGCCUUUUAAGCUUCAGAGCUGGGUUCGAUCCCCAGACGGCCUA